Molecule: RNA transcript, 6692 nt
Organism: Salmo salar (Atlantic salmon)
Lineage: Eukaryota; Metazoa; Chordata; Actinopteri; Salmoniformes; Salmonidae
Gene name: exocyst complex component 5
Source: RefSeq, a predicted model, not a curated record
GAAACAUUUGGUGCAUGCGUUUUACGCAGUGCACUCUCGCAACGAUCAGUCCCAACCUUUUUAUUCUUCUUCAGCACGGGAUUUGUAUUGCUUUGGAUACAGGAAGUAGAGCUGUGUAACUGUUGUCAAUAAAGGGUAAAAUAUAAAUCCAGCUGAUCAAUCAGUUGUCUGUCAUACCCGACUGUUAGUUUGCAAUUUCUACAUUGCACAUCGAAGUAAAACAUGUCAACUACUGCUCAACUAUUCGAGGAGCCCUUUGAUGCAGACGAGUACAUAGAGAGGUUGGCCUGGAGAACCCCUGGAGGAGGGUCCAAAGGAGGAGCAGAGGCAUUCGAUCCCAAAAGGCUGCUGGAGGAGUUUGAGAACCAUAUAGAGGAGCUGAAGCAUCUGGAUGAGAAGAUCCAGCGGCGGGUGGAGAAGCUGGAGCACCAGUGUCACAGAGAAGCCAAGGAGUUUGCCCACAAAGUACAGGACUUACAGAGGAGCAACCAGGUAGCCUUCCAGCACUUCCAGGAGUUGGACGAGCACAUCAGCUAUGUGGCCACCAAGGUGUGUCACCUUGGUGACCAGCUGGAGGGCGUGAACACGCCCAGGCAGAGGGCUGUGGAGGCCCAGCGUCUCAUGACCUACUUUAAUGAGUUCCUGGAUGGGGAGCUGCGCAGUGAUGUCUUCAACAACCCAGAAAAAAUUAAGGAAGCUGCUGAUAUCAUUCAGAAGUUGCAUCUCAUAGCCCAGGAGCUGCCAUUCGACAGGUUUGCAGAUGUUAAGGCCAAGAUUGCAAGUAAAUACCACGACCUGGAGCGCCAGCUGAUCCAGGAGUUCACGGCGGCCCAGCGUAGGGGCGAGAUUGGACGCAUGCGGGAAGUCGCUGCGGUCCUCUUACACUUCAAGGGCUAUGCACACUGUGUGGAUGUAUAUAUCAAGCAGUGCCAGGAGGGGGCGUACAUGCGUAGUGAUGUGUUUGAAGACACUGCACUCCUCUGCCAGCGGGUCAACAAGCAGGUGGGAGAGGUCUUCCAGAGCCCCGAGACCGUCAUGGCCAAACUCAUCCAGAACAUCUUUGAGAACAAACUACAGGCCCACGUAAAAGAAAAACUGGAUGAAACCCGCCACUCUGAUGUAGAACAAUACCUCAAAAACCUCUAUGACCUUUAUACCAGGACAACGGCCUUGGCUUCCAAGCUGACCGAGUUCAACCUGGGCUCAGACAAACACACCUUCCUGUCUAAGCUCAUUAAAAACAUCUUCUCCUCCUAUCUGGAGAGCUACAUUGAAAUGGAGAAAGAUUACCUCCGCACACGCAGCGCCAUGAUCCUUCAGCGCUACUACGACUCCAAGAACCACCAGAAACGCCCACAGGGUGGGGGCAGUAUCCAAGAGCUGAAGGAGCGGAUCAGGCAGCGCACCAACCUGCCCCUGGGGCCCAGCAUUGACACCCACGGAGAGACCUUCCUCUCUCAGGAGGUGGUGGUCAACCUGCUCCAGGAGACGCGCCACGCUUUCGAGAGGUGCAACAGGCUCUCAGAUCCCUCGGACCUGCCCAAGAACGCCUUCUCCAUCUUCCUGCUGCUGGUGGAGCACCUGUGUGUGGACCACAUCGACUACGCACUGGAGAUCGGCCUCUCCGCCAUUCCCUCAGCUGAUGCCAAGAAUGCCAACCUGUACUUCCUGGAUGUGGUCCAGCAGGCCAACACCAUCUUCCACCUGUUUGAUAAGCAGUUCAACGACCACCUGAUGCCUCUUAUCAGCUCGUCUCCCAAACUGACAGAGUGCCUGCACAAGAAGAAGGAGGUGAUUGAACAGAUGGAGGUGAAACUGGACACAGGCAUAGACAGGACACUGAACUGCAUGGUGGGACAGAUGAAGCACAUCCUGGCUACGGAACAGAAGAAGACAGACUUCAGGCCUGAAGAUGAGAACAACGUCAUGAUCCAGUGCACCGCAGCCUGCUCCAAGGUUUGUGUGUAUGUGAGUCGGCAGGUAGAGCGUGUGCGGAAGUCCAUGGACGGUAAGAACGUGGACACAGUUCUGACGGAGCUGGGUGUGCGUUUCCACCGCCUCAUCCACGAGCACCUGCAGCAGUACAGCUACAGCUCCAUGGGAGGCAUGCUGGCCAUCUGCGACGUGGCCGAGUACCGCAAAAGUGCCAAGGACUUCCGGGUUCCUCUUGUGCUGCAGCUCUUUGACACACUCCACGCCCUGUGUAACCUCCUGGUGGUUGCCCCAGACAACCUCAAACAGGUCUGCUCCGGCGAGCAGCUCACCAACCUGGACCGGAACCUUCUGCACGCCUUCGUACAGCUGAGAGUGGACUACCGCCAGGCCAGACUGGGACGACACUUCAGCUAAUGGCCCUGGCCAAUGCGUCGCUGUCCAGCCCUCGGUCCGUCCAAUGACCACGGCCUAUGAUUUCACAAAGCUCACCAUGGAAACGGAAUUCAGCCAACCUGGAUGGAGUCUUCUCUGAGUUAGUCUUUCAUUCUCAUCUGCAGUAGCACCUUUUGCUUUGUCCGUCCUAGAGGCCAAGAAAGACCACCGCCAUUCACAGUUGGUCUACAGGUAGCCUAGCGGUUAGAGCAGGGUUUCUUAAACUAUGGGUCGGGACCCAAAGUGGGCCCUGAGUUUGUGGGAGGUGGGUCGAGUUAUGAGAAUACAUACAUAAUCACACACUAUUUCUUUUUAAUUUGGGUUGUUGGAGGACGAUUUGGGUCACGGGAGGACGGUCAAUUUCUCAUUUGGGUCUCGAGCUGAUAAAGUUUAAGAAACCCUGGGUUAGAGCAUUGGGCCAGUAUCCGAGAGGUUGCUGGUUUGAAUACUCGAGCCAACAAGGUGAAUAAUCUGUUUAUGUGCCCUUGAGCAUGGCACUUAACCUUAGUUUGCUCCAGGGGUGCGAUACUACUAUGACUGACCCUGUAAAACAGGGCUGUCAAAUUCAUUCCAUGGAGGGCCUAGUGUCUGCUGGUUUUUGGUUUUUCCUUUCAAUUAAGACCUAGACAACCAGGUGAGUUGAGUUCCUUACUAAUCAGUGACCUUAAUUCAUCAAUCAAGUACAAGGGAGGAUGAAAACCUGCAGACACUCAGCCCUCCGUAGAAUGAGUUUGACACGUGCUGUAAAACAACACAUUUUCACUGCACCUUUCACCUAAAUUUACCUGCAUUUUGCCCUUGAUUUCUGCAACACAAGGAAUUUUAAAUGUAUAUGACUCUUGUUUUGAAAUACUAAUCCACCAAAACAUGAUUGUGUCAUAUUACCGGUAAUAUGAACCUUGAUUUCCAAGCUUUCAACUUAACAUAAAGAGAUAUUUUGUUUUGAUUGUGCCAAAUGUAUAUUCUGUGGCUGCACUUGUACACAGGAACAGACUUUAAAGCUACUGCAAAGACAAAGUUGAGCUCUUCAUAGCUCAGGCCUGUCAUGGCACUGACUGACUGCAUACUGGAAACAGCCACCCCUCAUACAGAACUCCCAGAGGAAUCUACUCUCACCAACAUUCUCUCUCUCUCUCUCUCUCUCUCUCUCUCUCUCUCUCUCUCUCUCUCUCUCUCUCUCUCUCUCUCUCUCUCCUCCCGAACCAAGCCUGCUAAAGAGCUCCGCUGUGCCUGGCAGAGAGAGUCACAUGACCACCUCUCUCUGACCUCAAGGGAGAGGUGAGGGGUCAACACACUGGCUGUGAUCCCAGCCGUAAUCAUGUCUGAGAACCACUCGGGGGUCCUGGGUGGUCCGUCUGUGGCUAAGAUGACGGGUGCGAGAGGUUAUUCUCCCCCAUCAUCCACACUCAACACCAUUCUUCCAGCAACCCACUCUUCCACACUAAGAUGUCAUAGCACUUUCAGUUUGUCCACUCUGUCUACGCUACAAGCCCAGCUAGUCCUUCAGAAUCCCACAAAUCCCUGCUUUCGGCGUCUCCCUCCCAUACAUGCCGGUCCUCCCUCUGCCUCCUGGAGCACUGACAAUAAAGCAUUACAGCAGUCAAUCCAUGUCAACAACAGCUUUGCUUAAUUCCUGCUAAACACAUUUAAGCUAAAUCUUCACCUAAUGAUGCAUAGUGAUUAGCACUUGCUCUUUCGUCUGCCGGCGGCUUGUAUCAAUUUCACUUAUGUAUUUGAUUUUCCUGCCAUCAUCAGAGAGAUGACUCAGGUGUGGGCGCUGUAGCAGCCAGGCUGGGAGGGUGUUAAGGAUCCCCCUUCAAAUUAGACACCAAGUAAUUAACACUUGUAUUGUGGGCUGCUUUGUAUUCAUACAACACCCCUCAUCAGCCUCUUUGAUGUGGGAAUCAGAUUAAUGAUGCCAGAGCCAGCAAUAACUGGUGCUAUUCAACUGCCUGUUGUCCCUAUCUACAUUUCAUAUCAGACAUUUGUCACUUGACAUCUACAGUAUGGCUUGAAAAGAGGGAGUCGAGAUGCAAAAGGAGUCCCAGUGCAUAUUAAUAGUGUGUAAUCAAAGGCAGGUUGGAUACAGCUAUGAUAGGGGUUGCAAACAGGGUGCUUUCCAAUUGAAAGAUAGAAUGGGUUGUUGUUCAUGUGCUGCCCCUUUUCAAAAGCCAUUCUUCAGGAUGUCACUACGUGAGAGGCUUAGAACAGGAGUCAGGAGGUGGGCAUCGUGCCAGACACUUACCCCGCCAGGCUCUCUUAAUGUGCUGUAGAUUUUGCCCUGGCCUUGACCCACUGCCCAGAGUGUGCCAGCCAGGCCCAACAUGGCACAGGUGUCAUGCCACCUUUAGUCUUGGGCAUCCUGGAAAUUCACUAGGCAGAAUGAGACUGAUGCCAAUGCUCUCCUCCUUCGCCUCACUCGUCAUAGUGAAGGCCUAGUCCACUGUGGCCCAAUUGAGCCCUCCCUCGAAUCAUUUAAUCAUACACCACCAUCCUUUUGAUAAUAUGAAACCAACGUGCAGUGCUGUGCUUUGUUCUCUCCCACUCCUUCCCUCUGCGCCAUAACUCUAUUAAUACUAUUCAUCAUUUUGCGGAGCUGUUUCCUGGCUCGAUGCCUGUGCUGUGCACGCUCUUGGCUGGGCUUGUCUGUUUGACUGCUCCACAGGAACAGACUGGCACUCUGACUGAGGGCUCCGGGCUUCGGGGCCUGCACACACAAUCAGCUAAGCAUGGAUCUGUCUCCGAGGCCUGCACACACAAUCAGCUAAGCAUGGAUCUCUGUCUAUGAUAAACAGGGUUGACUUCUCACGAGAAAUCCAAAUAUAAAUUGUCUCAAUGCUACUUUUAGUUGCUAAUCUGUAUCACUUACCCGCACACACACACGCAUGCACACAUACAUACACACAAAACAACAGCUAGGUUCAAUAGCACUCACCCAACCCUGGGAUGUGAGCAGUUAGGUGUCUUGAUCAUGGGUUUGGGUUGUUUUCCAAUACAAACAUCUGCAGCACCCCACUGAGCCACCACACUUGGCAGAGAGAAACAGAGCUCUCUCCUCGACUAAAGAUGAAACACUACGUCAACACAAAAACACAUGCUUUUGUUUCAUCAAGCAUUUGCCUUGAGGGUAGAUCAAAUGUAAAUGAAUGUGUUCUGUGCUCUCCUCCCAAGUAUUUUCCCAUGUGGAAUGAGUAGCCGUGCUGCUGUAGAAAUGGUUCAGUACCUCUAGUAGGCCAGCAGAGGGCAGUAGUGCUCUUGUAUUGCUCUCCUCCCUUGAAGAACUCUCUCUUCCUCAGAGCUGCUCACAAUGGGGAUCUGCCUGAGGGGUGAAAUUUUGCUUUUUUAGGUCUGUAAACCCAUAUCCCUUAAUCCCCAGCCAUGAUUGACAAUCAUGAUUUAGGGUAUAUGGUGUCCCAUUCUAAUCCAUGAGCAAUGAUUCAUUUGCAUACCUUCCGUGCGUGGCCUCAUUUUGGAGGAGGAAACCGCUGCCUUUGUAAGUGACACAGAGAGAGAAAGAGAGAGCUGAGGAGACAGUGUAUGACAGACAGAGAACAGGAAGAAGAAGAAGAGAGCAUGGAUGGGGGAAUUCUUGUGAAUUUUGCCAGAGGGGAGAUGAUUGCAGUCUCCAUGCCUCACCAAACUUGCCCUUUGCCCGUCUUCUUCUCCAGCAAGACUUUCCUCUGACACAGUGAUACACACACACACAGGCAAACAGACACACUCAACACACACAGACACAGAGACAACCAUCAAACAUAAAACACAGAUCCCAGAGCAUAUACAGAAAUAGAGACACAAGGGGACACAGAGGAGAAACACAGAGAUGCUCCCUCACACGUUGCAAAACUAAAUUGGUAUUUGCUCAUUUUAUAUCCAAGUCAGGCUUAAUUAUAAUCAUGGGAGUUUGGGAGUUACCGUAUAAUCUCUGGAAGGUAUUAAGAAUUACCCAGAACACACCACAGCAAAAGAAACAAAUACAAAUACUUACAAUUACUUUCCAGUCAUAAUACACGAGGGAUUAAACAUCAAAUAAUGCAUGCUGUUUGGCAUACCUUCAGAGAGCAUUCAUCCACACUGUAUCAAUGAGAGCAUUGUACAGAGGGGGAUCGCCUGAUCGAGGGGUUUUAUGGUCAAUGUCUGGGCUUACUGUACUACAUGUACAUCAAAUCAUUUGCACAACAAUUUCUAUGUUUUGCUAAAUAUCCUGUGAGUGUAUAGGAUGCAAUUAGGCCUUUAUUUUCAAUAUUAAAAUGUGAAUAUCUCACUGUCUCACACGUAACACACUGUUGUUACAUGUUCAUGAUUAAAGGAUAAAUAUGGAUUCA